AAGGUUGUGACUUCUGUUUUAAUAUAUAAGAUUUUUCUGUUAAUUUAGCCGUGUUCGGUUCUCAUUUCGGUUCAUGUUUUUCAAAUCUAGAGAUCGGAAUCAUUUGUAUAUAUGAACAUCGGUUUGGUUUUGGUUUUUCUGUUCUAUUCUGUAUUGGUUUUCAGUUCUCGUCAAGUUUCCCCAGGCCUACUACUAACAAUACAUUAAACCAUAACAACAGUAAUGCUAAUGUACAUAUGUACUUUCAGGUAUCUAAACGAGAUAUUCGUGUGGUGGCACCGAUUACCUCGCCGAGUAAACUUUCUAAAGAACUUCUGGUCGAACACAACCAACGAAAGAAACAUCAAGAACAGCCUCUUCGCUGCUGAGCCGCCUCAGCUCUAUGCGGUCCACUACUUGGGAUGGAAACCAUGGCUUUGCUAUAGAGACUACGACUGCAACUUCGACGUGGAGCAGCAUGUGUACGCUAGCGACGCGGCUCACGCUAGAUGGUGGAAAGUGCACGAUGCUAUGGACGAAGAUUUGCAAAGGUUUUGUAGGCUGACCAAGAAGAGGAGGACAGAACUUAACUGGGAGAGGAGGAGAUCGAGGCGUAGAGGUUCAACUGACUUCCAUUGGAGGAUCAAUGUUACUGAUCCAAGACGACGCCGUUCUUAUUUGAUAGGGUAAAUUUUUGUCGUCUGUGUAUAUAGAUGUAACUAGGUGUUUUGCCCGCACUUGCGGGCUUAAUAAUUUUAUAAAAUUUUAUAAAGAAAUAUAUUAUCAAUUCAAAAAAUUUGAAUAAGUUAUUUUCAUGGAAUUAUAUUUUAGAAAUCUAUCCGAAAUCUGAGAUUGAUGGGUCAAAGAGACCUCUAGUAAAUAGUAACUAAGACCAUUUAGUCAUAGUUAACUAUAUUUAAAAGAAACUAGAUCUCGAUCCGCGCAACCGCGCGGGUGUUUGUUUCCAUUUUUUUAUAUAAACAUUUUGUUUACAAUUCUAAAUUGAAAUAUAUUAUAAUAUAUAUAAAGUGUGUUUAUCACUUUUUAAAUCAUAAUAAUUUUACCAUAUAUGUUUUUUAUUGAAUAAAUUGUUUUAAACUGUCACAUACGUCACUUUUUUUUUGGAUUGUUAUUUCAUUAUAUAACUCGUAAUUUUAUAUAAAGAUUGGUAAAUAUUUUUUUAUUGUUAUCUCGAAAAUAUUGUAAUAUUUUGAAGUAUGAUUCUUAGCAUCGUUAUUUAUAGAUGGUUGAAUAGUUAGGGUAUUGUAGAGAGUAUAUUCUUUAAAAUCUAUAAUUAAUAGACAUUAAAUAGUACGAUAUUAUGUAUUGGUUGUUAUGGAAAAUAUAGUAGAUUUGUUGAGUAGUUAACGGCAAUUAGUGAAAUCUAACACAUAUGUUUGAUAUAUAUCGUUAGAAUAUUAGAAGUUGCAAGCCUCAAGCAAGAAAUCUAGAAAAAUCGUAUCUAUUGAGAUAUUUUGCUCCUAUAUACUUGCUUUUCAAGUUAAAAGAUAUUACAACUAAUUUGAUUUUAUGAUUAUACUUGCUUUUCGAGAAAAAUAUAUUUUUGACUUUGAUCACAAAUUUUGUAGCUGUUUCAAAACUACCGAUUAGUAUAGGUUUAUUUAGAAGAAAAAAAUGAAUUUUAUCACAAAACUUAUAGAUGGUUUUAAAUCUAGUAUUGAUAAGGAUUAAGAUAUGUAUAAUGUUGGUUUAACUGGUUAACCGGCAGUAUAGUCACAUUAAAACCAAAAAAAUAAAUAUAUAAUUUGAAUCAAACUUACGAUUGAUAUGGAUUUAUAAUGAAGAAAAUAUUAAUUUCGAAUUAGAUCACACAACUUGUAAGUGGUUUGAAAAUUAGAAUGAGUAAGGAUUAAGAUAUGUUUAAUGUUGGUAUAAUUGGUUAACCGGUAGUAUAGACACACCAAAACCAAAAUAUGAAAAUAAUUCUAAUCAAACCAUAUUGCAAACUCACGUGCUUAACCAAAAUAUAAAUGAUAAUUUAAUUUAAAGAUAAAUUAUGGUGGUUAUGUAAACCGUAAUUAAAAGGGUACGGUUUUGUGUCAAAUCCUCAUUCGUUUGUGAUGAACGAUAGAUCCAAAUUAGAGAUCACAACUUCUUAUCUGUUAGAAGGUCGUGACACCAUAAGGAGUUCAUUUUAAGAUAACAGAGAUUUUUAAAAAAUUAAGGUGAUUCAUUUUAAUAAUGGUUCUGUAUAUAUUUAUUAGGUGAUAUAAUAUUUCUGUUAUAAUAUUUUCUUAAGGUGAUGAACUAUGGUCAUUAGAGAGCACGACAAGUUCAUAUGUGCUACAUAGUUUUGACAUAGUUAGGAGUUCACUCAUGAUAUGAUGACAUAUUUUAAUUUCUUUUAUGUGAUACGUGUAUCAUUUCAUAAAUUGAGCUGUGUAUCAUUUCAUAAAUUGAGCUGAUAUAUAGGAUAGAGUUGUUAUGAUAUUCGAUUGAUAUUAUAUUAAAUGAUCCAUUAAUGAUUAAGAAAUGUUAUUAAGAAAUAAAUGAAACAUCUAAAGGGUCCAUUUUUUAAAAUAUCACACAUGAAUCAAGGUUGUGACUUCUGUUUUAAUAUAUAAGAUUUUUCUGUUAAUUUAGCCGUGUUCGGUUCUCAUUUCGGUUCAUGUUUUUCAAAUCUAGAGAUCGGAAUCAUUUGUAUAUAUGAACAUCGGUUUGGUUUUGGUUUUUCUGUUCUAUUCUGUAUUGGUUUUCAGUUCUCGUCAAGUUUCCCCAGGCCUACUACUAACAAUACAUUAAACCAUAACAACAGUAAUGCUAAUGUACAUAUGUACUUUCAGGUAUCUAAACGAGAUAUUCGUGUGGUGGCACCGAUUACCUCGCCGAGUAAACUUUCUAAAGAACUUCUGGUCGAACACAACCAACGAAAGAAACAUCAAGAACAGCCUCUUCACUGCUGAGCCGCCUCAGCUCUAUGCAGUCCACUACUUGGGAUGGAAACC
This 2945-nucleotide long non-coding RNA is filed under the name Brassica napus (rape). Its description in RNAcentral is "long non-coding RNA (BNAP_LNC005147)". Lineage: Eukaryota; Viridiplantae; Streptophyta; Magnoliopsida; Brassicales; Brassicaceae. The record is from RNAcentral.